RNAcentral lists this long non-coding RNA (1404 nucleotides) under Pongo abelii (Sumatran orangutan). Its description in RNAcentral is "lincRNA". Lineage: Eukaryota; Metazoa; Chordata; Mammalia; Primates; Hominidae. The record is from RNAcentral.
CUUGUUUAUAAGUGUAUCGCCGAGAAAUGUAUAAAAUAAUCGAGACCGGCGGAGGCAGGUCAGAGCCGUCUGGAAUGCGCGCACCUUCAACGGCAUUUGGAGAUUAUUCGCACUGAAUUUUCUGCCCGCCAAGAACGAAUAGGAUUGCCAAGCCACACCACUUUUUGGAGCCCGCUUAUUCGCGCCUAUCCACCCUCUCCUGUGCCCCAGGUUCCCUGAGCACGGGAAUCCUUUCCGGGCAUGGGCAAAUUUGUUCGGUGGCUCAGAGCGGGAAGGGAAGUGCAGUUCGACACCUGUCCAGCUGCUCCGCUUGGAGAUCAAAGGCCGGCUAUGGGCUGAGCGACAGAUUUACGGGACGGUGGUACAGAUUAAGGCGGUACAGAUUAAGGAGAGAACCCUGCCGGUCCCGGACUCGAGUUCGCGCCCAAGGAAAGCGUACAGGUCCCUGGAAGCGGGUGGAUGUCGGAGAGGCCGAGGCAGCCUGCGCUGUGGCCAGGCAGGCUUGGUGGGUUUUAGUCUCAGUAUGUGUUCUUUAAAGUCUUGACAGGUUAUUAGCAAAGGAAGGGCACCCCAGAGUCAUGAAGAUGCUUCUCGCUCUGGCCCAAGCAUGUUGAGGUUGGCUCAUUCCUCGGCCAGGCCCAGUAAAACAGCCCAAGCACAGCCUGGAGUCUUCCCGCAUCUGCGCGGGAGUAGAGUCUGGCUUUGGGCCCCGCGUACCCCGCAGUCGUCGGGGACGGGUUCGAGGCCAGGGAGGCCACAGGAAGGGUUUCCGCGGCGGGCGCGGGGUAAAGGGGGGAAGAAGGAAUCCUCUCCGCGUGAUCGGCAGGGCGAUCUUGUGAUUCUCCCACACCCAGGUUCCAGCUCAGCCCCCAAACUGCUGCCCCAAGGAAACAAGUUGGGGAGUGUGGAUUUAGUAUAACAACGGGUGUGAGCUGAUGUCCUUACAACCAAAAAUAUUGAGACUAGAAAAUCAGCUCCGAAUCCACGACCCUCAAAUUGAUGCUUAAUCGCACCCUCGACUCCAGAAAAGCUGCCGGGGACAGACAUGGACAGGUUUUGCCAAGCGUUCAUUAAAAUAGUCUGCACUGGAAUAACCGGGGUGCAAGAGAUCACAUCUUCACUCAGGGCUUUGGGGAUCCCCUCGUCGCCCCAGGUCAGUGGGUGGGGAGGAGGGCAAACCUCUGUCUUUUGUUUGUGGGUGAGGGAUGCGAGUUGUGGCAGCAGCCGAGCAAAGGGGGAAAUUAAUUGCAGCCAAUUAAUAAUUAAUCCCCUUUAAACAGCUUUAUUAUCUCUUCCGAGCGACAGAGAUUUGUCUGAUAACCCCCUGAAGACCAAAUGUCAAGUUUAACCAAAUAGUUAUUGCUUUAUCAACCCGAGUCUGCAAAUAAAUUAAUCAAAAGCAAA